Long non-coding RNA from Zophobas morio, 653 nucleotides. RefSeq lists it as uncharacterized. The transcript is spliced from 2 exons. Lineage: Eukaryota; Metazoa; Arthropoda; Insecta; Coleoptera; Tenebrionidae. The record is from RefSeq and is a predicted model, not a curated record.
ACUUGUCAAUUUGCAACUUGCAACUUCGCUCUCGUGUUUCAUUGGUCCCCCUCUUUUGUCUCCCGAUCAAGCGUGCUGCGACGUGCGCAUUGACUCCCGUGUUUGUUUUGACGAAGUGCAGACGAAAUCGAUCAAUUACGUGUUUUGUUGAAAUUUUGGGUGUUAUAAAUUCGCCGUCGCGAUGACUAUCCUCAAGAAGCCGAUCUCGAGUGAGAAGAAGGACAAACUCGCGCCUCUAGUACAAAAUGACCAGUUGGCAACAGCUGCUUUGGAACGAGACUCUUAAUUCCUUGGUCCCUCUCUAACCUGCUGUUCCCAGUUAUUUUGAGAAGUUUUGAGCUUUUUUUGCGAAUUUGAGAACUUUCACGGUCUGAUUGGUGGGUGCAUAGUAAGAAGGUUACAAGUCUUUGAAAGUCGUACGUGUGAAGAAGGUGGAAGUAGCUCAUGAAUACAUAAUUUUCGCUAAUUAUUUAUGAAAAAAAUCCUGAGGAUGGAGUCAUUUGGUUUUGGACCGAAGCACUCGGAACGGUGUAGACAAGAAAAUUUAAGUUCUUUGUUGUGGUACCGACAGGACGUGGUGGAGGGUCUGAUUGUGUAGUGUCCUGAUAAGCAACGCAGCCGAAACGUCUUUAAAUAAAAUUUAUAAAAAUUUA